Pistacia vera is the source of this 1028-nucleotide long non-coding RNA. RefSeq lists it as uncharacterized. NCBI's taxonomy places the organism in Eukaryota, Viridiplantae, Streptophyta, Magnoliopsida, Sapindales, Anacardiaceae. The record is from RefSeq and is a predicted model, not a curated record. The transcript has 3 exons.
CGUUUUGACUGUCUUGUCAUGUCAUGUCAUGAUUCUGCCCAUAACGCUACGCUAAAUUGCGCUGUUCUUCCAUUAAUAUUAUUCCGAAAUCCGAAGCUCUCAUUCACUUCAUUUCUCCAUUUGGCAAACUUUAAGCUUUAAUCUCUUCCAUCUCAUCUUCCGUCUCUUUCCUUUUUGCUCUCACUUGGCCUCGUUUUCAGCUCGCAACUCUUCGCUCUGCACAGCUCAGGAAUUUGCUUGAAAAAUGGUUCAAAUUAAAGAAUUUCGAAUUGUGAUGCCCAUGUUGUUAGAAGAGUAUCACAUAGCUCAGAUGUACAUGGUCAUGAAGAUGCAGCAGCAAAAUUCAAAUGGUGAUGAAGGUGUUGAAGUCUUGGAGAACAGGCCCUUUGAAAAUGAUGUAUAUGGAAGAGGUCAAUUCACAUCUAAAAUUUAUCGCUUACAAAGGUAAUGCACUAAAAUAGUACUGAUAAUCAGUUUGUUUUUUGUAAAUUUGAAGUGUUUUCUUGAGCCGGCUGCUGAGAAUUUGAACUGUAUUGACAGGACUGUUUGUAUAUGUGUUGUUAAUUGGCUGAAUUGAUAUGUGUAUUGCAGUAUGAACAUAGUAUAAGCUAUUUGAGACUUCGUUUAUAAGGUUUUUAUAUUGAUCUUCCACGAAGUUAAAAGAGCACAUACUACUGCCUGCUGUAUCUUAAAUGAUGUAAUUUUGGGUUGCAGCAAGGUUAAUGGUUAACAUGGCAGCUCGGAGUACUUUCUGCUUUAAGGAAAUAAGAGAUGUUAUGUAUUUGUAGAUUAAAAAUUCCAAAUGCUUGUAGGACAAGAGCUGAUUGUAUGUGUCAUUUGUAAGUGAAGGGUAAUAAUUAGUUAACUUAACUAGUAUUUGAAUUAUUUGAAGUCGAAGUUAUAUUUUAAUGCAGCGAUGUUUGCAUUUCACUUUGUUGUCUUCUUAUUAUAUGCCAGUUCUUAGUCUCUGGGAGGUCAUUGAUAUGUGUUAUGAGGCUUUAUGCUUGCAAGAUUCUUGCGACUUGUGA